Molecule: long non-coding RNA, 4427 nt
Organism: Cygnus olor (mute swan)
Lineage: Eukaryota; Metazoa; Chordata; Aves; Anseriformes; Anatidae
Exons: 15
Source: RefSeq, a predicted model, not a curated record
UUUCUGUUCAUUAUGUUCUUCACUGCCAUUUUCAAAAGUGUUUUAAAGUGACAUGAUGGUAACACUUAAACUAUAAUGACAAAUGCUUGGCUGUCUACUCUAACUUCCAAUGCUCGUACAUGCUCUGUUUUCAGUUUCUCCCUGUAUUGCCCAUUGAUGUGGUUACUUUAUUGGCAGGAGUUUACUAUUAUAAAAAGGCUACAGGAUGACUAUUGUAUCUCAGUAUCAGAAAGGAAGUGAUGCUUCGACUUCUGCUGAAAGAAAAAGCAGCAGAUAAAUUAACAAUAAUAAAAAUAAAAACAAUUUGUUUCCAGCUCCUAUCUACAACAUCAGUUUCAAGUUUUGCUGAAGCACUGGGGAUUGAUAGCGAGUACAUCUGGAAUGAAAUGGAGGGAGGCUGAGAUGUUGGGCUGCCGUAACUUCCAUCAUCAUCUCUCCACUGUUGUGUGUGAGUACCAGAAGGGUGCAGCAGAGGAGGGUAUCCAGAGAAACUCUUUAGAAACCUGAGUUAGAAAUCCAGGUAUAUGGUGCAAUCCUCUGCCUUUUUUGUCUGGUCUUAACCACUGCUGGAGAAUUUCUAUGAAAAUUUGGGCAUUCUGCAACACUAGAUGCCAUAUUCUGCAAAGGGACACAGAACUGUGCUAUUGCCCUUUGUUAAGCAGAGCUUCCUUAUCCACGUGCCUGGACUGGGGCUUUGCUACCAACCCCAAACGGCAUGAGAAGUAAGGGAUCCCAGCAGAACUGAAGCAGAAACCAAGCACUGGUCCACAACGGUUUAUUAAAUUCCUUCCUUCAAAGAGUGUUGAGACCUUGCACGGAUGUGCUGCACAGAGUUUUACACGUCCUGUGCCCACCUGCGUCUCUGUACUGAAUAUUGUUCUGCCAUGCCUGGUGAUGUGGCCCAGUUAUUUCUAAUUAUUCUACCUGAAAGCAAUUUGCCUUGCAGAAAGAUCAGAAAAAGCAUACGCUGGAGAGAUUCAGUUACUGAGUGCAGGCUCCUGCUGAGCCAAUACUCUUUUAAUUUGGAAUUAUCAGAGAAGAUGGGACUCCAACAUGAAUUCUUGUCUUUAAAAUACCAAAAUGAGCAAGAAAUCACACCCUUUAAGUGUUCAAGGCUUUUUAAUGAUGAUGAAGGUCAAAGACAAACUGCAGACUUGUGAAAGUGAGGAGGUGUCAGAGACUAAUGCAAUUCUUUUCUCAACUGCAGUGAGUGGACUGAAGGUUAGAGCAGGAGAAUGGGGGAGAAUGCAGACGGGCUAUCCGAUGCUGCAAGGAAAAGGAGAGCCCGCAGUCUGUAGUAACACACAGCACAUUCCCAAGCAUUGCUUCAUCACUUUAUUAUAUCUCAGACAGCACAAGAAUGAUCCUUGUGCAGCAAUUAAAGGGAAUACAAAAAAAGGAAACGUGGCUUUAGAGAAAGGGGCUUUGUGACACGAUGGUGCUGGGACGAGCAACUUCUCUUUGAUUACUGACUCCAGCUGGGAGAGUGGGAGAAGAGAGGGAAGCAGGUGGCUCCUGAGAGGGUCCACCUGGAAGAAGGCUAUAGAAGGGCGGCUGUUCUGCCUUGCUAGUCCUGGAGUUAGGAGAGGACAGAAAGUAAAAGGCUGAGGAUUGCUAUUUUUUUUGUUUGUUUGUUUGUUUGUUUUGUUUUGAAAUGUAGGGAUGUUUGCUUGAUUGUUUUUUGUUUGUUUUGAGCUAAUAAUUGCUCCCAGAAAAGAAAGUGUAGUCGUGGAGGGUACUGGAAAAGUCCUGGUCACUGCAUUGGGCUCUUCUGGGUGACUAAAUACCAUGCUAGCUCAUACUAGAAAAAUAACAAAGGAAAUACCUUAGCAAGUUCUUACUGCCUGUUUAAGUAUGCUGCUGGUUUGUGCCCAGUUAGAAGAGAACUUUAAGGAUAAAAGUUCUGUAUUCUUUCUCUUUGAAAGAACCCAGACCCAGCAAAAAUGGGUAUUUCUAGUUGUUUUUGCUAAAUCGCUGAUGUCAAUGGUCUUGGGCUUGUGUGGCCAGGAACCAGCAUAAUUUGCAUGUACAUGAAUUCAGUAAUGCUUCACGGUAACUGAGGAGUUCUUGAUUUUUUUCCUUCUAAAAUCAAGCAGAGGGAUAAUAUACUGGCAGGAGGGAAAGGGAGGAAUUCAUUUGCGGGGGCUCACUAGUCUCAAGAUAGAUCUUUGCAAAGCUUGGGAAAAUAGCUUUUUGUGGCUCUGCUGAGUUCAUGUUUAAUUACUUAGCUAGAUAUGACCUUGCACAACUUCUAUAAUACAAGGGACUAGGAGAUCUUUUGUGGUAAACAGAGCCCAUAAUAACUCUGUUCUCUAAUCUCUGUUUCUCUAGUGAUGCCACCCUUUAUAAAACUAUAUAUAACCUUGAAGCACCUAAUUGAGGAAAGGCUUUGUGAGGGGAUAAAAACAUUUGAGUUGCAGGAAGUAAUUACACCGGAACAGUGUUACUUGUCUUUUUAUUGCUACGUACGAAUACUGUUAUCGGAAAACUCAUUUCUAGUCAUGUAUUCUUCGGGCUGGCAGUUAUUAUACAGUUGGCCACUGGCAGGAAAUGCCUAAGAGCUUGAACAGAGAGAUGUUAUUUAGUUGUAAUUUUAACACAGUUCGGGAAGUGCGCUGCUGUUUGUUUGCGGUUUUCUUGCAUGCACCUGGGAAUGUGGAAUGUAUAAAAGCAUUCCCAAAGCAACACAAGUGUGUGUGGCACCUCAGAAAAGCCUACGAGAGUCCCAUAUGACUGCACAAGGUAAUGUAAGAGGGAACUUCUGAUAUGGAAAGGAGGGAGGAUAGUUGCGUGCACACACAUAAAAGAAGUUCUGAAACAGAAGCUUUUACUUAAACAUCAUAGAUUUGCCUUGAAUAUUGACUGCAUGGUGCUCUGCUUAGACCUCUGCAUCCUGCUUGUACAAAAUUUCUACAGGUUCUGUGAGGAAUUCGUUCAAGCCUAAUGACACUGUGUCCUAAAGGAGAAACUCUGGACUGGUGGAUUGGAUGGCUGAAGGGGCCAAGCAGCAGUUGAAAGCUUUCCACCUGAGCGCCUGAUUCAGGUGCUCCACAGAAAGCUAUUGCUCCUGGCAGGCUUUGCAGCAUGCUAUAGGAAAUGGAUCUGGGACUUUCAUUCAGUACCUGAUGGGGAAGUGCCUGGGCAAGUCCAUACCAUGUCAGUGAGAUGAAAUGAUCUCCUUUCAUUGCAACUGAAAUCAGGGACAGGUUCACGGGAGGUAAUCAUUCAAGAAAGAAGCUAUCAAUAAUAUUUAUGAAAAAUGGAGCCUAAUGGUUGUCGGAUGCCAUUUUAUAACAUGACCAGCUUGUGUCUGCCUUGUGGAACCAGGGAGGACUUCCCAGGCAUGGUCUGACUCCAUGCUGGAACAAGGUCAAGUCUAACAAGUCAGAUUCUCUUGAGAGCAGGCUGAACUCUCUUUUUGGAAAUAUCCUGGUCUAAAGUUAAGUCCUUUCUUUGCAGGCAAUCAUAGAACCAUUCUUCAAAGCAUCCAAAGUCACUGAAAGAUGACAAAAAUAUGAAGACUGUAAGCAGAUUGAUUUCUGAAGGCUUGCAGUAUAGAAGAAGCUGAAAAUGGACAUGAGAGAGAACAAGAGGAAAUGCAACAUGGUGCUUUCAAAACUAAUCAGUCGGGAGAAUUAUUGCAAACCUAGAUUUUUACAGGGAGGAAACUGCACAGAAAGCAGUAAUGACUGAAAUGACCCAGAGAUGACAGUGUAUAUAAAAAUGAGUGACUCAGGAAGAAGGGAGACUGAAUAAUGUGCAGGAUUCAAGCAGCAGCAGUAUUUGUGUAUAAGAAUGACUCCUCAACAAGCAUGUAAAAGACUGUCAUGGUUACCUCCCAUGGAUCUUUUCUAUCUAGCUGUGGCUGUGGACGGUGCGGAGCGUGGUGUCACCUUUCCUAUCACAGGAAGAAGGACCAGGACAUAAACUAACAGCUGUCAGGGAAGGGCUGUGACCUAGACCUUACAUUAAAAGCUCUUCAGAAGGCAACAGCAUCAAGCAUGCUGUGGGAACAAAUAUUGUGAUGCAGCUCAAUGUCACUGGGAAGCAAGUUCAUCAGGAAAUCAGCUGUCCUGAAAUCUAUAGCAAUCCUGGAAGCUUGCCACUGUAUCUGGUCUCUUGCAACAGGACUGCCCUGAAUCCACACAAGAAAGCCUGGGCUCUUUGGGAGCUGUAACUCAGACAGAGAACACUGGUCACAAAUAGAGGAUCCACAACUUUUGAAGGAUCUGAUCCAGUGGAUACAGCAAGUCUUAAAGAAUCUUUGCAUCAGGCCUCUGUUAAGUUGCAGCUUGUGUUGCAGAACCUACAGCUGGCCCAAGCCCUCAACUCCCCCUGUUCUGCUUCCUCAAACAAAGAGCUUUGAAAAGUGUGAAGCACUGCCAGACCUGAUUGUGUUACAGCUUACACACACCUGGAACUAAAAG